AGCGAACGUUAGCGGCGGGCUUAACACAUGCAAGUCGAGCGAGAAAGGGGCUUCGGCCCUGAGUACAGCGGCGGACGGGUGAAUAACACGUAGGUAACCUUCCUUCCAGCGGGGGACAACGGUCCGAAAGGACCGCUAAUACCGCAUACGUUCCCUGGGACCCUGGUCCCGGGGAGGAAAGCUCCGCAAGGGGCACUGGAUGAGGGGCCUGCGUAGCAUCAGCUAGUUGGUGGGGUAAUGGCCUACCAAGGCUAAGACGCUUAGCUGGUCUGAGAGGAUGAUCAGCCACACUGGGACUGAGACACGGCCCAGACUCCUACGGGAGGCAGCAGUGGGGAAUAUUGGACAAUGGGCGCAAGCCUGAUCCAGCCACGCCGCGUGAGUGAUGAAGGCCUUCGGGUCGUAAGACGUCUGUGGGGAGGGACGGAAUGGCGCCGUGAAGAGCGGCGAGUGACGGUACCGUCCUUACGCAAGCACCGGCUAACUUCGUGCCAGCAGCCGGUAAACGUCUGUAC
RNAcentral lists this ribosomal RNA (515 nucleotides) under uncultured bacterium. Its description in RNAcentral is "bacterial SSU rRNA". It matches the Rfam family "Bacterial small subunit ribosomal RNA", at positions 30 to 535 of the family's 1533-position model. The record is from RNAcentral.